This 491-nucleotide ribosomal RNA is filed under the name uncultured bacterium. RNAcentral's name for it is "partial 16S ribosomal RNA". It matches the Rfam family "Bacterial small subunit ribosomal RNA", at positions 29 to 507 of the family's 1533-position model. The record is from RNAcentral.
GUGAACGCUGGCGGUAGGCCUAACACCUGCAAGUCGAACGGCAGCACAGUAAGAGCUUGCUCUUACGGGUGGCGAGUGGCGGACGGGUGAGGAAUACAUCGGAAUCUACUUUUUCGUGGGGGAUAACGUAGGGAAACUUACGCUAAUACCGCAUACGACCUACGGGUGAAAGCAGGGGAUCUUCGGACCUUGCGCGAUUGAAUGAGCCGAUGUCGGAUUAGCUAGUUGGCGGGGUAAAGGCCCACCAAGGCGACGAUCCGUAGCUGGUCUGAGAGGAUGAUCAGCCACACUGGAACUGAGACACGGUCCAGACUCCUACGGGGGGCAGCAGUGGGGAAUAUUGGACAAUGGGCGCAAGCCUGAUCCAGCCAUACCGCGUGGGUGAAGAAGGCCUUCGGGUUGUAAAGCCCUUUUGUUGGGAAAGAAAAGCAGCAGGUUAAUACCCCGCUGUUCUGACGGUACCCAAAGAAUAAGCACCGGCUAACUUCGUG